This 480-nucleotide ribosomal RNA is filed under the name uncultured bacterium. RNAcentral's name for it is "partial 16S ribosomal RNA". It matches the Rfam family "Bacterial small subunit ribosomal RNA", at positions 29 to 507 of the family's 1533-position model. The record is from RNAcentral.
AUGAACGCUGGCGGCGUGCUUAACACAUGCAAGUCGAACGAAGCACUUUAUUUGAUUUCCUUCGGGACUGAUUAUUUUGUGACUGAGUGGCGGACGGGUGAGUAACGCGUGGGUAACCUGCCUUGUACAGGGGGAUAACAGUUGCAAACGUCUGCUAAUACCGCAUAAGCGCACAGCAUCGCAUGAUGCAGUGUGAAAAACUCCGUUGGUAUAAGAUGGACCCGCGUUGGAUUAGCUAGUUGGUGAGGUAACGGCCCACCAAGGCGACGAUCCAUAGCCGACCUGAGAGGGUGACCGGAGACAUUGGGACGGAGACACGGCCGAAAAUCUUACGCGAGGCAGCAGUGGGGAAUAUAGCACAAUGGGCGAAAGCCUGAUGCAGCGACGCCGCGUGAGCGAAGAAGUAUUUCGGUAUGUAAAGCUCUAUCAGCAGGGAAGAUAAUGACGGUACCUGACGAAGAAGCACCGGCUAAAUACGUG